Non-coding RNA from Podarcis lilfordi (Lilford's wall lizard), 72 nucleotides. Lineage: Eukaryota; Metazoa; Chordata; Lepidosauria; Squamata; Lacertidae. The record is from the annotation of a GenBank genome assembly.
UGGUAGCUCAGCUGGUAGAGCACGAGACUCUUAAUAUAAGGGACAUGAGUUCGAGUCCCAUUUUGGGCAAAA